AUGCUCACUUUGGUAGUACAUAUACUACAAUUGGAAUGAGGCAGAGAAGAUUAGCAUGGCCCUUGCACAAGGAUGACAUGCAAAUUCGUGAAGUGUUCCCUAUUUAA
This is a small nuclear RNA of Perognathus longimembris pacificus (Pacific pocket mouse), 107 nucleotides long. The record is from RefSeq and is a predicted model, not a curated record. Lineage: Eukaryota; Metazoa; Chordata; Mammalia; Rodentia; Heteromyidae.